GAUGAAGAACGUAGCGAAAUGCGAUAAGUAAUGUGAAUUGCAGAAUUCAGUGAAUCAUCGAAUCUUUGAACGCACAUUGCGCCCCUUGGUAUUCCGAGGGGCAUGCCUGUUCGAGCGUCAUUAUAACCCCUCAAGCUCAGCUUGGUGUUGGGGCCUGCUGCACUGGCAGCCCUUAAAAUCAGUGGCGGCGCCAUCUGGCUCUAAGCGUAGUAAUUCUUCUCGCUAUGGAGUCCUGGUGGAUGCUUGCCAUCAACCCCCAAUUUUUCUAUGGUUGACCUCGGAUCAGGUAGGGAUAUCCGCUGAACUUAAGCAUAUCAAUAAGCGGAGGA
RNAcentral lists this unclassified non-coding RNA (329 nucleotides) under soil metagenome. RNAcentral's name for it is "partial contains 5.8S ribosomal RNA, internal transcribed spacer 2, and large subunit ribosomal RNA". The stretch from base 1 to 120 matches the Rfam family "5.8S ribosomal RNA", at positions 35 to 154 of the family's 154-position model. The record is from RNAcentral.